Zingiber officinale is the source of this 108-nucleotide small nucleolar RNA. The record is from RefSeq and is a predicted model, not a curated record. Lineage: Eukaryota; Viridiplantae; Streptophyta; Magnoliopsida; Zingiberales; Zingiberaceae.
AAGCCAUGAUGAGGGCACUAUCUUUGUAGACUCUUGAAUCUAUCUCAUGCUUCAGAUAAUGAUUCUCCAUCUGCCUGAGCAAAAUUUGUGAUGCAAUUCCUCAUGUAC